This 421-nucleotide ribosomal RNA is filed under the name Corynebacterium sp. oral taxon B00. Its description in RNAcentral is "bacterial SSU rRNA". It matches the Rfam family "Bacterial small subunit ribosomal RNA", at positions 28 to 442 of the family's 1533-position model. Lineage: Bacteria; Bacillati; Actinomycetota; Actinomycetes; Mycobacteriales; Corynebacteriaceae. The record is from RNAcentral.
GACGAACGCUGGCGGCGUGCUUAACACAUGCAAGUCGAACGGAAAGGCCCCCACCUUGGUGGGGGUGCUCGAGUGGCGAACGGGUGAGUAACACGUGGGUGAUCUGCCCUGUACUUCGGGAUAAGCUUGGGAAACUGGGUCUAAUACCGGAUAGGACCAUGGUUUAGUGUCUCAUGGUGGAAAGAUUAUUGUUUUGGUGCAGGAUGAGCUCGCGGCCUAUCAGCUUGUUGGUGGGGUAAUGGCCUACCAAGGCGUCGACGGGUAGCCGGCCUGAGAGGGUGGACGGCCACAUUGGGACUGAGAUACGGCCCAGACUCCUACGGGAGGCAGCAGUGGGGAAUAUUGCACAAUGGGCGCAAGCCUGAUGCAGCGACGCCGCGUGGGGGAUGACGGCCUUCGGGUUGUAAACUCCUUUCGUUAG